This is an RNA transcript of Hypanus sabinus (Atlantic stingray), 2375 nucleotides long. RefSeq lists it as uncharacterized. Lineage: Eukaryota; Metazoa; Chordata; Chondrichthyes; Myliobatiformes; Dasyatidae. The record is from RefSeq and is a predicted model, not a curated record. The transcript has 2 exons.
GCAUUUCGUCUGACACCCUCACCGCCCUGUCCGUCACCCUGAGGUCACGUACCCGACCGAUGAAGCAAAGCCUUUCGUCUGACACCCUCACCGCACUGUCCGUCACCCUGAGCUCACGUACCCGACCGAUGAAGCAAAGCCUUUCGUCUGACACCCUCACCUCCCUGUCCGUCACCCUGAGGUCACGUACCCGACCGAUGAAGCAAAGCCUUUCGUCUGACACCCUCACCGCCCUGUCCGUCACCCUGAGCUCACGUACCGACCGAUGAAGCAAAGCCUUUCGUCUGACACCCGCACCGCCCUGUCCCUCACCCUGAGCUCACGUACCCGACCGAUGAAGCAAAGCCUUUCGUCUGACACCCGCACCGCCCUGUCCGUCACCCUGAGGUCACGUACCUGACCGAUGAAGCAAAGCCUUUCGUCUGACACCCGCACCUCCCUGUCCGUCACCCUGAGCUCACGUACCCGACCGAUGAAGCAAAGCCUUUCAUCUGACACCCUCACCGCCCUGUCCGUCACCCUGAGCUCACGUACCCGACCGAUGAAGCAAAGCCUUUCGUCUGACACCCUCACCGCCCUGUCCGUCACCCUGAGGUCACGUACCCGACCGAUGAAGCAAAGCCUUUCGUCUGACACCCUCACCGCCCUGUCCGUCACCCUGAGGUCACGUACCCGACCGAUGAAGCAAAGCCUUUCGUCUGACACCCUCACCGCCCUGUCCGUCACCCUGAGCUCACGUACCCUACCGAUGAAGCAAAGCCUUUCGUCUGACACCGUCACCGCCCUGUCCGUCACCCUGAGCUCACGUACCCGACCGAUGAAGCAAAGCCUUUCGUCUGACACCCGCACCGCCCUGUCCGUCACCCUGAGGUCACGUACCCGACCGAUGAAGCAAAGCCUUUCGUCUGACACCCGCACCUCCCUGUCCGUCACCCUGAGCUCACGUACCCGACCGAUGAAGCAAAGCAUUUCGUCUGACACCCUCACCGCCCUGUCCGUCACCCUGAGCUCACGUACCCGACCGAUGAAGCAAAGCCUUUCGUCUGACACCCUCACCGCCCUGUCCGUCACCCUGAGCUCACGUACCCGACCGACGAAGCAAAGCCUUUCGUCUGACACCCUCACCGCCCUGUCCGUCACCCUGAGGUCACGUACCCGACCGAUGAAGCAAAGCCUUUCGUCUGACACCCUCACCGCCCUGUCCGUCACCCUGAGCUCACGUACCCGACCGAUGAAGCAAAGCCUUUCGUCUGACACCCUCACCGCCCUGUCCGUCACCCUGAGCUCACGUACCCGACCGAUGAAACAAAGCCUUUCGUCUGACACCCUCACCGCCCUGUCCGUCACCCUGAGCUCACGUACCCGACCGAUGAAGCAAAGCCUUUCGUCUGACACCCUCACCGCCCUGUCCGUCACCCUGAGGUCACGUACCCGACCGAUGAAGCAAAGCCUUUCGUCUGACACCCUCACCGCCCUCUCCGUCACCCUGAGCUCACGUACCCGACCGAUGAAGCAAAGCCUUUCGUCUCACACCCUCACCGCCCUGUCCGUCACCGAGGUCACGUACCCGACCGAUGAAGCAAAGCCUUUCGUCUGACACCCUCACCGCCCUCUCCGUCACCCUGAGCUCACGUACCCGAUCAAUGAAGCAAAGCCUUUCGUCUGACACCCUCACCGCCCUGUCCGUCACCCUGAGGUCACGUACCCGAUCAAUGAAGCAAAGCCUUUCGUCUGACACCCUCACCGCCCUGUCCGUCACCCUGAGGUCACGUACCCGACCGAUGAAGCAAAGCCUUUCGUCUGACACCCUCAACGCCCUGUCCGUCACCCUGAGCUCACGUACCCGACCGAUGAAGCAAAGCCUUUCGUCUGACACCCUCACCGCCCUGUCCGUCACCCUGAGCUCACGUACCCGACCGAUGAAGCAAAGCCUUUCGUCUGACACCCUCACCUCCCUGUCCGUCACCCUGAGGUCACGUACCCGACCGAUGAAGCAAAGCCUUUCGUCUGACACCCUCACCGCCCUGUCCGUCACCCUGAGCUCACGUACCCGACCGAUGAAGCAAAGCCUUUCGUCUGACACCCUCACCUCCCUGUCCGUCACACUGAGGUCACGUACCCGACCGAUGAAGCAAAGCCUUUCGUCUGACACCCUCACCGCCCUGUCCGUCACCCUGAGCUCACGUACCCGACCGAUGAAGCAAAGCCUUUCGUCUGACACCCUCACCGCCCUCUCCGUCACCCUGAGCUCACGUACCCGACCGAUGAAGCAAAGCCUUUCGUCUGACACCCUCACCGCCCUGUCCGUCACCCUGAGGUCACGUACCCGACCGAUGAAGCAAAGCCUUUCGUCUGACACCCUCAGCGCCCUGUCC